GCCUGGGUGGCUCAGUGGGUUGAGCGUCUGACUUCAGCUCAGGUCAUGACCUCGUGGUCUGUGAGUUCGAGCCCCACGUUGGGCU
Molecule: transfer RNA, 85 nt
Filed under: Felis catus (domestic cat)
Lineage: Eukaryota; Metazoa; Chordata; Mammalia; Carnivora; Felidae
Rfam family: tRNA
About the family: Transfer RNA (tRNA) molecules are approximately 80 nucleotides in length.
Source: Rfam by way of RNAcentral